AAAGGUUAGAAUGUUCAUGUCCUGGGUGGCAUAUUUUACUGUGUCCUAUUGGUUGGUGUGCUGCAGCCGGUAGCAAGGUUAUUCCUUGAGGCUGAGAUAUGGAGUGGAAGUUCAUGAAAGGAAAUGAUGUGCUUUCGGUUCAGGACUUGGGGAAGACAAAGGCACGUUCAAAUCAAUUUGUCUUUGUAAUCUUGACCAUUCAUUUUGAUCUAAAGUUUAAAAACUAUUCCUACUAUUCUCAUACAAAAUUUGUCAUUCUCAUUUAAGAAAUAAAAAGUAAUGAAAGGUUGGUAAACAAUAAUGAAAAGAGAU
This 312-nucleotide long non-coding RNA is filed under the name Medicago truncatula (barrel medic). RNAcentral's name for it is "lncRNA gene23494". Lineage: Eukaryota; Viridiplantae; Streptophyta; Magnoliopsida; Fabales; Fabaceae. The record is from RNAcentral.